RNAcentral lists this ribosomal RNA (348 nucleotides) under Acanthamoeba genotype T4. RNAcentral's name for it is "SSU rRNA". It matches the Rfam family "Eukaryotic small subunit ribosomal RNA", at positions 778 to 1079 of the family's 1831-position model. Lineage: Eukaryota; Discosea; Longamoebia; Acanthamoebidae. The record is from RNAcentral.
AUCCAUUUUCUGCCACCGAAUACAUUAGCAUGGGAUAAUGGAAUAGGACCCUGUCCUCCUAUUUUCAGUUGGUUUUGGCAGCGCGAGGACUAGGGUAAUGAUUAAUAGGGAUAGUUGGGGGCAUUAAUAUUUAAUUGUCAGAGGUGAAAUUCUUGGAUUUAUGAAAGAUUAACUUCUGCGAAAGCAUCUGCCAAGGAUGUUUUCAUUAAUCAAGAACGAAAGUUAGGGGAUCGAAGACGAUCAGAUACCGUCGUAGUCUUAACCAUAAACGAUGCCGACCAGCGAUUAGGAGACGUUGAAUACAAAACACCACCAUCGGUGCGGUCGUCCUUGGCGUCUGUCCCUCUC